Long non-coding RNA from Gorilla gorilla gorilla (western lowland gorilla), 1077 nucleotides. RefSeq lists it as uncharacterized. Lineage: Eukaryota; Metazoa; Chordata; Mammalia; Primates; Hominidae. The transcript has 3 exons. The record is from RefSeq and is a predicted model, not a curated record.
CUGAAAGGACCUCUCCAUAAGACAUACCCACCAGUGCCAUGAGAGUUUACCAUUGCCAUAGAAACAUCCAGAAGUCGCAGCGCCUUGCCAUGGCAACACCUGGAAAUUCCUGCCCCUGCCAUAGCAACACCUGGAAGUUGGGGCAACACCACCCAUUUUCUAGCUAUUUCUGAACAACCUACCCCUUAAUUAUCACAUGAUUAAAAGUGGGUAUAAAUGUGACUGUAAAAAUGCCCCUGGCUGCUACUCUCGGCCCUCUGCCUAUGAAUUACCCCUGCUCCGCAGGAGUAGUCACAGAGCUGUAACACUGCUGCCCCAUCAAUAAAGCUGUUUUCUUCUAUUACUGGCUUACUCUUACAUUCCUUCCUGAGCAAAGCUGAGAACUUGCCUUGCAUCAGUAUUGAGCCAGCCACUCACCACUAGAGAUGGUGAGAAGCAGCAUUUGAUGUGGCAGCAAGACAGUGGAAACAGCGGAGAAGCAAGACAGCAAGAGACAGCAAGAGAUGGCACUUUAUGAGAAGACGGGCACAGUGAUCAGCAAUGGGAAAGACAGCUAUUGGAGAAGUGGCAAGACAGCGAUCAGUGAGAGAGGAUGAGACGGUGAUCAGCGCUACAGCGAUCAAAGCUACAGAGUUGCUAACAUUGCAGAGCUAUUAACACUAGCCAAAGGCUGUUUUAAGAGCCAUCAUCUUUCCUGACAGGUGGUGGAGCCCUGGGGAUGGCCAAGUGGCCACAGAGCCACUGCUUCAUGCAGGCUAACCGCUCCAUGCUCCAGUUCCCCCAUAGGAGCCCAACCCACCCGAGCUGGGAAGCCUGGAGAGAUCUUCAUGCAGGCCCCAUGUCAGACACUGCUUGGCCCCAUUUUGGCUCCUGCACACCUACAUAGUCCUCAUUUCCAAGAUAACAAGCCUGACAAAAUUAUACUGGAGCAAGUCCACAGGCUUGUGCCAAACAUCUUCUGGGUGGAUUUAGGUGAUUGAGGAGAAGAAAGACACAGGAGUGAAAUUCUGUGAGCACAAGGGAGGAGUUCUACACUCAGACUGAGCCAACAGACUUUUCUGGCCUGACAACCAGGGC